This 1438-nucleotide ribosomal RNA is filed under the name uncultured organism. RNAcentral describes it as "SSU rRNA". It matches the Rfam family "Bacterial small subunit ribosomal RNA". The record is from RNAcentral.
CUUAACACAUGCAAGUCGAGGGGCAUCAGGAAGAAAGCUUGCUUUCUUUGCUGGCGACCGGCGCACGGGUGAGUAACACGUAUCCAACCUGCCCUUUACUCGGGGAUAGCCUUUCGAAAGAAAGAUUAAUACCCGAUAGCAUAAUGAUUCCGCAUGGUUUCAUUAUUAAAGGAUUCCGGUAAAGGAUGGGGAUGCGUUCCAUUAGGUUGUUGGUGAGGUAACGGCCCACCAAGCCUUCGAUGGAUAGGGGUUCUGAGAGGAAGGUCCCCCACAUUGGAACUGAGACACGGUCCAAACUCCUACGGGAGGCAGCAGUGAGGAAUAUUGGUCAAUGGGCGCUAGCCUGAACCAGCCAAGUAGCGUGAAGGAUGAAGGCUCUAUGGGUCGUAAACUUCUUUUAUAUAAGAAUAAAGUGCAGUAUGUAUACUGUUUUGUAUGUAUUAUAUGAAUAAGGAUCGGCUAACUCCGUGCCAGCAGCCGCGGUAAUACGGAGGAUCCGAGCGUUAUCCGGAUUUAUUGGGUUUAAAGGGAGCGUAGGUGGACUGGUAAGUCAGUUGUGAAAGUUUGCGGCUCAACCGUAAAAUUGCAGUUGAUACUGUCAGUCUUGCGUACAGUAGAGGUGGGCGGAAUUCGUGGUGUAGCGGUGAAAUGCUUAGAUAUCACGAAGAACUCCGAUUGCGAAGGCAGCUCACUGGACUGCAACUGACACUGAUGCUCGAAAGUGUGGGUAUCAAACAGGAUUAGAUACCCUGGUAGUCCACACAGUAAACGAUGAAUACUCGCUGUUUGCGAUAUACAGUAAGCGGCCAAGCGAAAGCAUUAAGUAUUCCACCUGGGGAGUACGCCGGCAACGGUGAAACUCAAAGGAAUUGACGGGGGCCCGCACAAGCGGAGGAACAUGUGGUUUAAUUCGAUGAUACGCGAGGAACCUUACCCGGGCUUAAAUUGCAGUGGAAUGAUGUGGAAACAUGUCAGUGAGCAAUCACCGCUGUGAAGGUGCUGCAUGGUUGUCGUCAGCUCGUGCCGUGAGGUGUCGGCUUAAGUGCCAUAACGAGCGCAACCCUUAUCUUUAGUUACUAACAGGUUAUGCUGAGGACUCUAGAGAGACUGCCGUCGUAAGAUGUGAGGAAGGUGGGGAUGACGUCAAAUCAGCACGGCCCUUACGUCCGGGGCUACACACGUGUUACAAUGGGGGGUACAGAAGGCAGCUAGCGGGUGACCGUAUGCUAAUCCCAAAAUCCUCUCUCAGUUCGGAUCGAAGUCUGCAACCCGACUUCGUGAAGCUGGAUUCGCUAGUAAUCGCGCAUCAGCCACGGCGCGGUGAAUACGUUCCCGGGCCUUGUACACACCGCCCGUCAAGCCAUGGGAGCCGGGGGUACCUGAAGUACGUAACCGCAAGGAUCGUCCUAGGGUAAAACUGGUGACUGGGGCUAAAACA